AGACAGACAGGACAAAAACAAUAUGCGCCCCGAAAAAAUUUGGGUGCAUAAAAACUGUCUUGGAGUUAACAGCAGUUCUCUGUUUCUCCUGAAUGUUAUGUACAAUUUGAUCGGGAUCGGAAGAAUGUUUCAAAAAGUCGGGCUCAGUGAUCAAUUAAUUUAAACAACAGACCGCCAAAAUUUAACCUUGGCCUCCAUGUUGCAACGUCUGCUCUGUCUAAAGGAAGAAGUUUGUUGACCAGACAGCCUGAGAUCGUAUUGCUGUAUCAACCAAAAGAUGCAGAUACACGUAUUUCAUAUGCGCGUCUGUGCAUGAGGAGAUUUCUGAAAAAGAAAAAGUGCUUAUUCAACUUACUGCGAUUUUAACGGGCUUAAAGCUUGGUCCAUGGAUGGUUAUGUUUAAGGAUUUGCCAAUUCAACCGCAAGUGCUGCUGCAAGAAAUUAAACAUGCAGAGACCUUACAAAUUACAAAGAAGUCUGAAGAAAAUUUUUAUUGGACAGAUGGGUGUAAAGCACAGACCUGAGAUAUAAAUUGAAUUGUGAGAAAUAUGAAUCAGGGAUGCAGGUAGAAAAUGGCAAAUGUGAUCCAGAUUGAUAAAAAAUGUCUAAAAACUUUUCUUGUUUUGUAAAUAUUCAAUGCUAUGUCAAUUGUUAUUUUUUUCCCCAAUACCUAAUAGUGUUGAACAUUUCACUCCCACUUUUGCUUAAAUAGAAUGAAUAAAUUUCCAUUUAUUUUUAUUUGAAUAUUAAAAAAUGCCACAUUUUUUCCAUGAUGAACUUGUGGCUUAAAUAAGAGUUCCAGUUUUUUUUCCAUACAUGCUCCUAUUUGUUUGUCAAAGAUAUAAGAUCCAAUACAUUGCUCAUGAACAUAAUGUGUAAUUUUGUUCAUUCAUUUAUAUGUUUUUUUCUCAUAAUGAUAUAAUAAAUUGUAUAUAAUUUU
Saccostrea cuccullata (small rock oyster) is the source of this 940-nucleotide long non-coding RNA. RefSeq lists it as uncharacterized. The record is from RefSeq and is a predicted model, not a curated record. The transcript has 3 exons. NCBI's taxonomy places the organism in Eukaryota, Metazoa, Mollusca, Bivalvia, Ostreida, Ostreidae.